This 347-nucleotide ribosomal RNA is filed under the name uncultured bacterium. Its description in RNAcentral is "partial 16S ribosomal RNA". It matches the Rfam family "Bacterial small subunit ribosomal RNA", at positions 338 to 682 of the family's 1533-position model. The record is from RNAcentral.
CCUACGGGAGGCUGCAGUGAGGAAUAUUGGUCAAUGGGCGGAAGCCUGAACCAGCCAAGUAGCGUGCAGGAUGACGGCCCUACGGGUUGUAAACUGCUUUUAUACGGGAAUAACGCGCCUUACGUGUAGGGCUUUGCAUGUACCGAAUGAAUAAGGACAGGCUAAUUCCGUGCCAGCAGCCGGGGUAAUCCGGACGGUCCGGGGGUUAUCCGGAUUUAGUGGGUUUAAAGGGAGCGUCGGCCGAAUGUCAAGCGUGCUGGGAAAUGUCCGGGCUCAACCCGGGCCUUGCAGCGCUAACGGGCGUGCUUGAGUCCGCGGCAAGCAGGCGGCAUUCGUCGUGUAGCGGU